UACGAAGGUGGCAAGCGUUACUCGGAAUUACUAGGCGUAAAGGGCAGGUAGGCGGUCUUGUUAGUCUGUUGUGAAAGCUCCUUGCUUAACGGGGAGAGGCCAACAGAUACUGCGAGGCUUGAGUAUAGGAGAGGGUACUGGAAUUCCCGGUGUAGCGGUGAAAUGCGCAGAGAUCGGGAGGAACACCAAUGGCGAAGGCGGCCAACUGGACGAAUACUGACGCUGAGACACGAAAGCGUGGGGAGCAAACAGG
Molecule: ribosomal RNA, 253 nt
Filed under: uncultured bacterium
Lineage: Bacteria
Description: partial 16S ribosomal RNA
Rfam family: Bacterial small subunit ribosomal RNA
Source: RNAcentral